RNAcentral lists this microRNA precursor (59 nucleotides) under Saccoglossus kowalevskii. Its description in RNAcentral is "Sko-Mir-281_pre stem-loop". The record is from RNAcentral. Lineage: Eukaryota; Metazoa; Hemichordata; Enteropneusta; Harrimaniidae.
AGGGGAGCAUCGCCAGCGACGGUAUGGCACAAUACGCUGUCAUGGAGUUGCUCUCUUAA